RNAcentral lists this ribosomal RNA (723 nucleotides) under Triticum aestivum (bread wheat). RNAcentral describes it as "partial small subunit ribosomal RNA". The record is from RNAcentral. Lineage: Eukaryota; Viridiplantae; Streptophyta; Magnoliopsida; Poales; Poaceae.
AUGAGGUCAGGUGGAAGUGUGUUCUUAGAGAAUGCAUGCAUCUCUAAGAUGAUAAAGGAAUUUAGCUCUAUACGGGAUGACGCGCCAAGGUGGGUAUUAAACAGAGCUACAACUUAUUUAGAAAAUGAUAUGAUAUUCGUUCCAGUUAACAUUGAACACUUCCAUUGGUACCUGGCAGUUAUAAAUACAGGGCAACGAUGCAUCCAGGUGCUCGACUCGCUGGGCCCAGGAAUGAGCCGCAAAGACCUCACCGCUAUGCUCAAAGGACUGGAAAAUGUAUUCGAAUAUGCAUCACUUCAAAUGGAACUAAAAAAUGAUAAGUGGAAAGACUUAAACAUCUCAGCAUGGCCAAGGGAAGAGUAUAUUAAGAGCACACUGCAAAGAGAAGGAACAAAACUAGCUGUCAUUUUAGUGGACUCGGAAUUGAAUGAUGAUAACAUAAGAAAUCGAGACAUGGAAGAUGACGACAACAACACAGAUCCCACGAAAUGUAUGAUUCUGGAUAGACCUCCUGAGAAUUUCAAAACAUCAAAUACAUCAGGAGAAGUCGAGCUAAUCUCGCAGUCAUUUAUCCUUUCACCGUUUUUCAAUCCAACAAACGAUGAUUUAAUAGAUGAACUAUGCUUGUUCAUCAACUCAAGUCAUCGUGAAAAUGUGGAAAUUGCUACAUUGAAACGGUUGUUUCAUAGCUGGCCUAACAGUAAUGAUUAUCAUAUCUCAUAA